RNAcentral lists this ribosomal RNA (500 nucleotides) under uncultured bacterium. RNAcentral describes it as "partial 16S ribosomal RNA". It matches the Rfam family "Bacterial small subunit ribosomal RNA", at positions 30 to 523 of the family's 1533-position model. The record is from RNAcentral.
AUUGAACGCUGGCGGAAUGCUUUACACAUGCAAGUCGAACGGCAGCACGGACUUCGGUCUGGUGGCGAGUGGCGAACGGGUGAGUAAUGUAUCGGAACGUGCCCAGUCGUGGGGGAUAACGUAGUGAAAAUUACGCUAAUACCGCAUACGAUCUAUGGAUGAAAGCGGGGGAUCGCAAGACCUCGCGCGAUUGGAGCGGCCGAUAUCAGAUUAGGUAGUUGGUGGGGUAAAGGCCCACCAAGCCAACGAUCUGGAGCUGGUCUGAGAGGACGACCGGCCACACUGGAACUGGGACACGGUCCAGACUCCUACGGGAGGCAGCAGUGGGGAAUUUUGGACAAUGGGCGAAAGCCUGAUCCAGCCAUUCCGCGUGCAGGAUGAAGGCCCUCGGGUUGUAAACUGCUUUUGUACAGAACGAAAAGGUUUCUACUAAUACUAGGAGCUCAUGACGGUACUGUAAGAAUAAGCACCGGCUAAUCACGUGCCAGCAGCCGCGGUAA